AUCCGUUCCCGCUGAAGAAAACAAAUGUUAGUCUGUGUCUCCCUUUGGCAUUAAGUAUGAAACUAUCAAGACCAGACUGAUAAUAGAAUGAUUAAUAAGAAAGAAUGAUGAGAAAAUGUUGGAAUGAUGAGAAAAUGUUGGGUUCAAAGUAAUCUGUACACGAGUGUGAUACUAAGUCCAUGCUCUACAUUCAAAUGGACAAACCAAGACACGGACCAUAAAAAAUGCUGCAAGUGUGGCUGGCAGAAUUAAACAGCUAAUUCACAUUCAAUAACUACAAAACUCUUUUAGAUUUUAAAAAAAUAAUUAAAAAUAAAUAAAUAAACAAACA
Molecule: unclassified non-coding RNA, 331 nt
Filed under: Hevea brasiliensis (rubber tree)
Lineage: Eukaryota; Viridiplantae; Streptophyta; Magnoliopsida; Malpighiales; Euphorbiaceae
Source: RNAcentral